CAAAGCUACAGCAAAAUUGUAUCUGUCAAUUAGGCCGGUCUACUCGUGCUCAUACUCCUUCUGGUAUCUCUUGCACUCGCAGUCUCUCUGGCGGCGCACUCCUUAAUGUCCGGCACAUGUCCGGCGCAAAUGAAAUUAAACGCUGACGCACCAUUUGCUGACCGGCAGGACUUCGACUGGUGGUGGCAUAAAGGAGCCCAAAAAUGACUUGUCAUAAAUCAAGAAAUCGACAAAAAUACAUUUCAAUGCGGCAAACAUUUUAAUAUACAACAAGGAAGAUGGUUUUUGGGGGCCGAAGCUUUUAAUACCCUUUGCAGCAGAUCCAUCAUGGCUUAAGGUCUAAAGAUGGGCGAAAAGUCAUUCGAUGUUCCCGAUGCCAAAAAGAUUUCCACUGAGCACUUAACCACUUUUCUGUCACUCUCUCAGUCAUUCGCUCACUCACUCAUUUGGUCAUUGAUUCGGUUGGUAAGUUAGUCAUUCGUUGGCUCCUUUCAUGCGCUCAAAGGCAGUGCCACUAUAAAAAUAUUAUCUAUAGUUUCCACUCAACUGCACAGCGGCACUUACCGGACGACGCUCGUCCUUGCCUCACACCCCAGAGCCCAAGCACGGUUUUGGUCUCUUGGCCAACACGCACAUGAACACACAUGUGUAUGUGUGUGCGUGUGUGUGUUUGUUUGUAUAAAUCAUAGUGGUUAAUGUGCACUCAUAAAUGGAUAAGCCCGAGCAGUCCAUAUGCUUCAAGCCAGAUCCAGCAGGAGGAGCAGCAGCACCAGUCACCGCACGUGAUGGCGAAUAUGAAUAUGAGUUGUGAAUGGUGUGAGAUAUGGCACAUGGGACAGAUGGAUUGUGGCUUGUGUCUUGGGCGGACAUUGCUCAUUCAGGUCAGGUCAAGACGGAGCCAGCUCAGGCAGAGGGAAAUCGUUUUGUGUGCGUGUCAUUUAUGGGUCAUUUGCCAUGGAAGCGGCAUGUUCCAAACAACAAGUGAAGCCAAUCGAACUGGAAACCAAAUGUUGCAAGAUUUAAUCAGUGCUGUUCUCUGCCUCUAAGUUGCACCAGCUGCAAAACCAUCGAAAGCCUGGGAAUCAAUUAAAAGGUAGAUGCAAAAUGUGUAAAUCAAAUGGUAUUUGGAUGCGUAUAAAUGACAUUCCAUAUUCUCCUGCAAUUUGUAGAUUUAAAUUAUAUUGCAUGGAUUAUAUUUUGUAUAUUUAUUAAGAGACAUUCCCCAAGAUAUAUUCGAAAUCUUCAAGGUUAGUUCCACCCAAAAACUACCUUAAGAAAAAAUACAUUCCAA
RNAcentral lists this long non-coding RNA (1291 nucleotides) under Drosophila guanche. The record is from RNAcentral. Lineage: Eukaryota; Metazoa; Arthropoda; Insecta; Diptera; Drosophilidae.